This 293-nucleotide long non-coding RNA is filed under the name Gossypium raimondii (Peruvian cotton). RNAcentral describes it as "long non-coding RNA (GRAI_LNC000661)". The record is from RNAcentral. Lineage: Eukaryota; Viridiplantae; Streptophyta; Magnoliopsida; Malvales; Malvaceae.
ACCCUCUUUACUUACCUAAACAGACAGAGAUAUCAAGGAUACGUAUCACCACGAUUUGGAACAUAGAUUGACAGAAUAAGGUAAAACAGAAAAAAAACUUUGAUGGGAAAGAACACAGAAGAAACAAACAGCAAAAAGAAAAAAUAAUAAAAAUUUGAAAAAAAAUAGAAAAACAAAAAAUAUGAUAACAUAUCCCUUAUUUUUCUCCCACUAACCCACUAACUCACAACUAUCUCAAAAUUUUAGCUCUACCAAAACUCUAUCAGACAAUUGAGCAAAAAUUAACACCCACG